RNAcentral lists this unclassified non-coding RNA (4319 nucleotides) under Leishmania donovani. Its description in RNAcentral is "gene:LdHU3.19.0290(CDS-product:C-inal_motor_kines in_putative)". The record is from RNAcentral. Lineage: Eukaryota; Euglenozoa; Kinetoplastea; Trypanosomatida; Trypanosomatidae.
CGAAAAGAAGAAACAUACUUUCGAACACAUACGUAUACAGGAUCUCAAAAAAAAAGUGUUGUGCGUUGACCACGACACCUCUCUCUUUUUCCCUCGUUCUGCGCGCAGUGUCUCUCCGUCUUUCCGGGCACCUCCGCUACUUUCCUGUACACCGCCCUCCCUCUCUCUUGUGUGCAACUGCGCAUUUUUGUCUCCCCACUUCACUGUUGCCCUCGCGUUUUCGCAGCUUCGAUAACGGAGCGACUCGGACGAACAAUCACACGACACCAGCAAGACCCCCACAGAGCGCAUGAUGAGUCUGUCGCCGAGUCGUGGUGGCCCGCAGGCCGCCGGGACCACUGCUGUGGAGACGGAGGUGCAGGAACUGCUUUCGCGGGAGCUGUCCUCGCGCAAUGCGGAUGGCGAUCCGGAUGCCACGGCCCUUCUCGUCGAGCACAUCCGCCGUGGCAACGGUGGCGCUGUCCUCGAGGGGAUCCGUCAGAACUUCAAGUACAACCCGCCCGCGACGCAGAUCUGCAUGGUGACUGUGAUGGAUCAGUGCCUCAUGCAUAGCGGUCCGCAGUUUGCUGUGAUGCUGUCGUCGGAGAAGUGGACGGAUCGUCUGUUCAAGGUCGCCAAGACGACCACUGCGAAUGAGGUGCGCGAGAAGAUUAUCUGCACUGUCAUCAAGUGGUACCAGCGCUACCACACGAGCGGCCACCAACGUCUGAUGCAGCGCUUUCAGCAGAGCCGCGUCCUCGGUGAGCCGUUUCAGCGUAUCUUCACCAGGAUGGUCAAGGACCAGCAGCAGCCGCGUUCUACUAAGGCUCCUCAACGCGACUUCACCACCCUCAACGCAGCCAACCGCAACGAAAUCCUCGACACGGAGGAGACGAUUCUGCUGGAGUGUCAGGGCGAUCUGGCCUCUCUCGAGUACGCACUGGAGCAUCCGCAGAUUCUCCCGGAUACCGAGAUUGCAAACGAAUGCAAGGAGCACAAGCUGGUGUGCAUGCGCAUGCUCGAGUCCGGACAGCACGAGCGCAUCGCAACUGAACUGAUGAGUCUUAUCGAACGUUUUUCCGAGGCUCUGAGCCUGUUCGAGGCGAUGACCGGCAUCGACGUCGGCGAGGGCGAUGCCGCCAAGCGGCGCGCCAUGGCCGACAAGGAUUUGGAGGAGACGGAUAGCGACGACGACGACGAGCAGCGGCUGCUGCGCCAGCGCCGCAGAGGUGUCAAGCGUGCUGAUGCGACCGCGGUGAUGAUGCAGGCACAACAGGAGACGGAGAACUUGGUUAACCGCGAGCGCACGGAGGCGCUGCAGCUGCGAGCGCAGCUGGAGGAGCUGCGCCAGAAGCACGAGGAACUGCAGAACAAGUACAAGGACGCCAAGGCGAAGAACAAGGAGGCCGUGGGCAUGCUGGAGCAGUACGCCCAGCGCGUGGAGAUGCUGGAGACGGGUGCCAACGGAGCCAACUCCCACCUAUCACCUCUGCCAGUGCUGGGUGCCACCUCGCUUGGCGCGCUGGGCUCUGCUGCCGGUAAAGGCUCCAUGUCACCGGCGCUCACCGCAAACAUGCGCAGCUUCUUGGCAGCUGUUCGCAAGUCCCUGCGCGAAAUCAAGGAGGUGUACUGCACUGACCUCUCUCAGCAGGGCCGAUACUAUUCAGCGCAGAUUUCGAACGCCAUGGCCGCCAUGAUCCAAGCGAGCGACAUGGACCGCGAGGCCGACCGCAAGGCACUGCAGUGGACGCAGGAGCUGUACAGGCGGGAGGUGAAGCUGCGCAAACAGUACUACAAUACCAUUCAGGAGCUGAAGGGCAACAUCCGCGUGUAUUGCCGUGUGCGGCCGAUGCUGCCUAAGGAGAUCGAGGGCGGCUACUCGGACGUCAUGUCGUACCCCACGCAGGACGAGGUGAGGUUCAUCGACGCGAGCGGGCGGCCGAAGCUCUUCGAGUUCGACGAGGUAUACCCGCCGACGGCGCCGCAAGCGCGCGUGUUUGAGGACACAGCCCCGCUUAUCGAUAGCGUCGUCGACGGUUUCAACGUCUGCAUCUUUGCCUACGGCCAAACAGGCAGCGGCAAGACCUUCACGAUGAACGGCACUGAGGGCGAGAACAAGGGCAUCAACACCCGUGCACUCGAAAGGCUCUUCGAGAUCAUCGAGGAGCGCAAGGAGACGGAGGCUUCUACCGUGACGGUGUCGGUGUUGGAGAUUUACUGCGAGCAGAUCCGCGACCUGCUGGCCACGAAGAAGGAGGCGGCCGGGCUGACGUACGAGGUGAAGCAGGGCGGGCCGUACGGCACGUAUGUGACGAACCUCAAGGAGGUGCCGGUGACGUCUGCGGGGGACAUUGACGGCAUCAUGGCGACCGCGCAGACGCACCGCAGCGAGGGCAUGACAAACAUGAACGAACACUCGUCGCGGUCACACAUGCUUCUGUAUAUCAUCGUGCGGACCACGAACAAGCAGACGAACAUGCAGGGCUACGGCAAGCUAUCGCUGAUCGACUUGGCCGGUAGUGAGCGCGUGGACAAGAGCGGCGCGGAAGGCCAGCGACUCAAGGAGGCCGUGGCGAUCAACAAGUCGCUGUCGGCACUUGGUGAUGUGAUUGCUGGACUCGCUCAGAACUCCAAGCACGUGCCCUUCCGCAACUCUGCCCUCACCUUCCUGCUCCAGGACUCCAUGGCCGGGCAGGCAAAGGUGCUCAUGUUUGUCUGCGUGAGCCCGGCUAGCUACAACGCCAGUGAGUCUAGCAGCUCGCUGCUCUUUGCCUCUCGUGCCCGCGGCGUCGCCUUUGGCCAGAUCAAGAAGAACGCCACGACAGAGAAGGCAUCGUAAGUGGUAGAGGGUCGUAGGGAGGGAAGCGAAAAAGAAUGAAUGAGAUAUUGACACACGCGAAAAGUGGCGUGAGAUCGAGGGCGAGGGACAUAGGAUCAGGAAAGGAUGCGCGUGAGCACACCGAGGGGCGAAACUUGGUGGCUGGCAUUCGAACUUGCUCAUGCUAUUGCUGUGCUGUGUAUGUCUUUUCGGUCCCUUCUCUCCCACUUCUUUCGAGUUUGUCUCCUCUGCUUCAACCAUUGCGCGGAGAGGGGCGUGCGUGGUGGCCUCUCUUCCCCUUGCUCUGGGGGUCUGUUGUGCGCACGUGUGCAGUAGUGUCGGAACGCGUUAAAUAUGAUGCUUAGAGAAACAGGAGAAGGGAAGAUCGCUGCGGAAGCGAAAAGGAAAGACAGAUGAGUAUAUACAACCCGCCACCUGCACCUCCACUUCCCUUCAAUACCUUCCCCGCCUUCCCCCUCCUUCCCCGUGCUCUCACACGCACACACGAAGGCACAGGCCGAUACCUUCCUCCUCCUCCUCUCGCUUCUCCCGUUUCUCCGCGGCUCAACUUGCGUGGCGGUUCCCCUCUUCCUGUGUGACUUUGUCAGAAGGUGAGGGGUGGGGGGGGGCGUAGCGCCAGUUUAUCUGUUCUUGCGUCAGCGGUUGCACGGCUCUCUUGCCCAACAGAUUGCUUUCCUUCCCCCUCCCGCCGCGCAUGUGUUGCAGUCUUGCUGCUCGCUCUCGUUCUUUGUAUCGUUGCUUGCCUUUCUUCUCUCUCGUGGCUUUUUUCUCGCAUUUCUGCUUGUUGUUUGCGGUCGAACGUUUUUCUAUUGUUUCACUCCCCACUGGCGGUUGUGUUUAGCUCUCUGUUCUCUCUCUUUGUGUAUGUGUGUCACGCCCGUGCGCUUGGUCUGUUGUCUUCAGUGCCGCACCUCUCCCUCUCACAAACUCGCACUCAUCUUUCCCGUCCUUUUUUUUCGGGCCUCUCAGUUCCCUCUUGCCUUUACUUCCCUUUUUGUUGUGCGUGCGUGUGUGCUUCUCGUAUGCAUUUCGGUACUGAUUCGACUUGCUGGUGUGCUUGCGUGUGGCUUGCGUUUUUUCUGAUCUGUUAUGCGACGUUUUUCGCUCUUCUUAUGAUGCUUGUGUGCUUGCUGUGUGUGUGUCUGUCGUUCUUCUUCGGUUUCGAAUCGAGUAUGGCAAGUGAAUUGGCUCUGUUCAAAAACGAAGAAAUCGACGAAAGAAGGAGAGGGGCGAAAAGGAUAUAUAUAUAUAUAUAUUUAUAACUAUAUAUACAUCAGUAGGCCGUGUUACUUAUCCGACGUCCACGCACACGUCCGUCUCACAUGGGUGUUUGAGUAGCACGCAGCAACAGGCAUACAAAUCGCCGAUGUGUAAGCGAUCUAGUCGCCUCCGCUUUCUGUUGCUUUUUCUUUUUCGCUCUCCGGUGCACAAGACAAGUUAGAGGCUAGAAUGCGUGUGCGUCUGCCUUUGUCGCCUGCGGGAAAAGCUAUAGGUGACGUAG